AGUCGAGCGGGUAGCACAGUAGAGCUUGCUCUCGGGUGACGAGCGGCGGACGGGUGAGUAAUGUCUGGGAAACUGCCUGAUGGAGGGGGAUAACUACUGGAAACGGUAGCUAAUACCGCAUAACGUCGCAAGACCAAAGUGGGGGACCUUCGGGCCUCAUGCCAUCAGAUGUGCCCAGAUGGGAUUAGCUGGUAGGUGGGGUAACGGCUCACCUAGGCGACGAUCCCUAGCUGGUCUGAGAGGAUGACCAGCCACACUGGAACUGAGACACGGUCCAGACUCCUACGGGAGGCAGCAGUGGGGAAUAUUGCACAAUGGGCGCAAGCCUGAUGCAGCCAUGCCGCGUGUGUGAAGAAGGCCUUCGGGUUGUAAAGCACUUUCAGNGGGGAGNAAGNCGKUGAGNUUANUANCCUCNUCGAUNGACGUUACCNGCAGANGANGCACCGNCUAAYUCNGUGCCAGCAGCNGCGNUAAUACGGAGGNUGCAAGCGUUAWUSGGANUUACUGGNCGUAAAGCGCACGCAGGCGGUCUGUCAAGUCGGAUGUGAAAUCCCCGGGCUCAACCUGGGAACUGCAUUCGAAACUGGCAGGCUAGAGUCUUGUAGAGGGGGGUAGAAUUCCAGGUGUAGCGGUGAAAUGCGUAGAGAUCUGGAGGAAUACCGGUGGCGAAGGCGGCCCCCUGGACAAAGACUGACGCUCAGGUGCGAAAGCGUGGGGAGCAAACAGGAUUAGAUACCCUGGUAGUCCACGCUGUAAACGAUGUCGAUUUGGAGGUUGUGCCCUUGAGGCGUGGCUUCCGGAGCUAACGCGUUAAAUCGACCGCCUGGGGNAGUACGGCCGCAAGGUUAAAACUCAAAUGAAUUGACNGGGGGCCCGCACAAGCGGUGGARCAUGUGGUUNAAUUCGAUGCAMCGCGAAGAACYUUACNUGGUCUUGACWUCCACAGAACUUASCARARAUGCUUUGNUGCCUUCSGGAACUGUGARACAGGUGCUGCAUGGCUGUCGUCAGCUCGUGUUGUGAAAUGUUGGGUUAAGUCCCGCAACGAGCGCAACCCUUAUCCUUUGUUGCCAGCGGUUAGGCCGGGAACUCAAAGGAGACUGCCAGUGAUAAACUGGAGGAAGGUGGGGAUGACGUCAAGUCAUCAUGGCCCUUACGACCAGGGCUACACACGUGCUACAAUGGCAUAUACAAAGAGAAGCGACCUCGCGAGAGCAAGCGGACCUCAUAAAGUAUGUCGUAGUCCGGAUUGGAGUCUGCAACUCGACUCCAUGAAGUCGGAAUCGCUAGUAAUCGUAGAUCAGAAUGCUACGGUGAAUACGUUCCCGGGCCUUGUACACACCGCCCGUCACACCAUGGGAGUGGGUUGCAAAAGAAGUAGGUAGCUUAACCUUCGGGAGG
RNAcentral lists this ribosomal RNA (1401 nucleotides) under Klebsiella variicola. RNAcentral's name for it is "partial 16S ribosomal RNA". The record is from RNAcentral. Lineage: Bacteria; Pseudomonadati; Pseudomonadota; Gammaproteobacteria; Enterobacterales; Enterobacteriaceae.